This 851-nucleotide long non-coding RNA is filed under the name Physeter macrocephalus (sperm whale). RNAcentral describes it as "Physeter catodon (sperm whale) lncRNA (ENSPCTG00005021235.1)". The record is from RNAcentral. Lineage: Eukaryota; Metazoa; Chordata; Mammalia; Artiodactyla; Physeteridae.
GGGGCAGGGAGCAGCCAGGGCCCUGGCCCCAGGGUGAGAGCUGACGUCUGUCCGGGAGCAUCUCUCUCCCUGCCAAGGGCUGAGAUUCUGGGCUGCAUGCCUUCCUUCUGACACAGGAGCUGACAUUCGUCCCUCACGGAACCUGGACCUCAGCCUCACCCCAGAGUGGCCGGGUGACAGCUAUGGCGGUGUGGUGACCGCAAGGCCCACUCUUGCUUCCCUCCAGAUGCACCUGACACCUCCCAGGCCACUACAGGCAGCUACAGAGACCCACACAAGGGGCCCCACACCCAGAAUCCAAGUUUUGGCUUCAAGAACAGUGAGGAGCUCCUGUACUGGCCCUUUCCAAGCGGUAGUGACCUGGAGCGUGUCAGAGGGGAGGCGUGGCCCUUUACUGUUUAUGGUAAAAUCCCAACCCCUGCAAAACCGCUUUGCUGAGUGUGCUGUCGUCCAGAGGCGGGGUGACUAAGCAAGGAGGCUGGAGGUGGGAGGCCCACCAGAACACGUGGAGACCAGGAAAUCAAAUGAUCAGUGCAUGAAGAAGACUGACUAGAGGCCCAAGGACACAGCAAAUAUCAAGGUCAUCACACAAACAUCAGCCCCACAGCACCCCUAAAGCCCAGAACCUAAAGAAGCAAAAGAGGGGACAAACUACCUUAAAAAGGACAUUAAGUCAUGUAUACUCCCUGCAAGAGUGUAUCAGAGGGCUUGUUUCCACUGAUAUUGACAAGAGAAGAGACGCUACAAAGGCAGUUUAAGUUUCCAAUAUAAUGGGGAAAAAACCGUACACUGGCAUUGUAAUGUAUUUUCCCCGACCAUCUUUGAGGUUGGGUGCCUCUUCAUAUGUAAAA